GUCUCAAUGUUGUUGACCCGCCUCCUGAUUUUGAAUCCCUUGUUUCGUUGGUUGAUGGUAUUUGUUAAAAGAUGUGGCUAUGGCAGGUUGCUUGGGGAUCUUAGUUUGACUUCGAUCUUAGUUUUAAGCUUAAUUGGUUUCUUCACGAGAUCUGCAUGGGUUGUCCGAUUGUAUGGCACGUUCUUGUUUGAUUGUUGCCUUAUGAUUGGAUCGUUUGUGUGAUCGAUGACAUGAUGUGACUUGUUAAUCUUAAAACUUGUGAGGGCGAUUUGACGUUGUUGCAUUUGUUGACGAGUAUUGUUGACUGAUGCUGCAAGUGUUUCUUGGUAGCUCGUUUGUCUGAUGCGUUGCUGAUGAGAUUCGUCUCAAUAGGUGGUGUCAUGUUGCUUGUUGUUCCUAGUUUCUAGCUUUUUAAGCUUAAAACCCAUGGAUUAUCGACAAGUAACAGGUCAUCGCGUCUUUGGUUGAUGAAGAUCGUUCAAUGAUGCAUUGGUUUGUUUGUGUUCUCGCAUCGUUCGGUGCAUUCUGGGGUCAUUUUGGCUAUUAGCUGCUUGCCUGGUGUUUGAGCUUGGUGGGUGGCUGUUAGUUGGGUGAUUUCGGGAAUGUCUACCGUAAAGGUGCAUGAGUGGUGUUUGGUUUGUUACGGGUGGUUGGCUCUUUGCUUGCGCAACAACUUCCACCUGGCAUACCUCUUCAGUCUUGUGUCAAUGCUUGUAUCGCAUUGAAUGCAUGGUGGGUUUCCUGUGUUGCAUGCCUAAUUGAUGGUAUCAUUUGAAGAAUUGAUGUCCAUUUUCGUCUUGUGUUGCGCAUGCGAUGUGAGAUGAACCUUGAAGUAGCCUUUGUGUUCCACUCUUUCGAUGCGCAUGCAUUGAUUUUUUGGCCCAUUGAGUGUUGC
RNAcentral lists this unclassified non-coding RNA (895 nucleotides) under Lucilia acutifolia. RNAcentral's name for it is "partial external transcribed spacer". Lineage: Eukaryota; Viridiplantae; Streptophyta; Magnoliopsida; Asterales; Asteraceae. The record is from RNAcentral.